AACCUUGCUUGGUUGAAUUUGAUGCUUCCACAGAUGAAGAAAAUGUGAAGCAUUAUGAGGUUAUAAUGCGCAACAAGGUGAUGAUCGGAGAACGGUUUGCUAUUGCUAACCGCGAAAUCAGAAGUUUGUGUUAAACAAAUGGCACUUGCCUCUAUAAGAAAGGUACCGGACGUUGCGCUUCCCUCCACACCUCCACAGGUCACUCGCAUCGUCACACAAAACCAUUAUCGGCUCGGCGCCUCUCACCAGCAUUCCUGUGUGCGCUGCGCGCGUCGUGCGAUACCAUGGACAGGCAGGACUACGACAACGGCCAGAGGAAGAAACCCCAUGGAAACCAGUACCCUAGGAGGGGCGGGAUCAUGAAAGGGAUCUUCCAGGACUGGAUCGGCAAGAAGGCCCCAACGAGGCCUGGCGGCGGCGGCAACGAUGGUUACGACAACGGCAAAGGGGGCGACGCCGGCGGCGGCGGCUCCAACGCUGAUGGCUACGGCGCUUACUGACGCAUGAUGCGUGCGCGCGUGGUUGCGUACGCGGGAGCGAGCCCCGGAGAUGGUUAGUUGUUGCUUAUGUUGGGUUGCAGCUGGUUUGCUUCUAUGCGGCUGCUAAGUGUAUCGAUCGUGUUGGGUGGAGGAUCCUGCUGUUCUUGUGUUCCUUGGUUGUGUGCUUUGUGGUCAAUAACUCUGGAGUUAUUAAUCCAUGGGGUCGUGCUUUUGGAUCUGA
Long non-coding RNA from Phragmites australis (common reed), 720 nucleotides. RefSeq lists it as uncharacterized. Lineage: Eukaryota; Viridiplantae; Streptophyta; Magnoliopsida; Poales; Poaceae. The record is from RefSeq and is a predicted model, not a curated record. The transcript has 2 exons.